CGGGUAGGAGUAAUGCGUGACCAACCUGCCCCAUGCUCCAGAAUAGCUCUUGGAAACGGGUGGUAAUGCUGGAUGCUCCAACUUGACGCAUGUCUUGUUGGGAAAGUGUUUAGUGGCAUGGGAUGGGGUCGCGUCCUAUCAGCUUGUAGGCGGGGUAAUGGCCCACCUAGGCUUCGACGGGUAGCCGGCCUGAGAGGGCGGACGGCCACAUUGGGACUGAGAUACGGCCCAGACUCCUACGGGAGGCAGCAGCA
This 254-nucleotide ribosomal RNA is filed under the name uncultured Gardnerella sp. RNAcentral's name for it is "partial 16S ribosomal RNA". It matches the Rfam family "Bacterial small subunit ribosomal RNA", at positions 100 to 355 of the family's 1533-position model. Lineage: Bacteria; Bacillati; Actinomycetota; Actinomycetes; Bifidobacteriales; Bifidobacteriaceae. The record is from RNAcentral.